CGAGGGGCAGCGGAGAGUAGCAACACUCUGCCGGCGACCGGCGAAAGGGUGCGUAACGCGUGAGCAACUUGCCCGUAUCCGGGACAUAAGCGGUGGAAACGCCGUCUAAUUUCCCAUAACAACGAGGGCCGCAUGACCCAUGUUUGAAAGAUCCGUCGGAUACGGAUGGGCUCGCGAGACAUUAGCUAGUCGGCGUGGUAACGGCACACCGAGGCGACGAUGUCUAGGGGUUCUGAGAGGAAGGUCCCCCACACUGGAACUGAGACACGGUCCAGACUCCUACGGGAGGCAGCAGUGAGGAAUAUUGGUCAAUGGGCGCAAGCCUGAACCAGCCAUGCCGCGUGAAGGAAUAAGGCCCUAUGGGUCGUAAACUUCUUUUGCGGUGGAGCAAUAAGGUGCACGUGUGCAUCGAUGAGAGUACAUCACGAAUAAGCAUCGGCUAACUCCGUGCCAGCAGCCGCGGUAAUACGGAGGAUGCAAGCGUUAUCCGGAUUUAUUGGGUUUAAAGGGUGCGUAGGCUGUUCGACAAGUCAGGGGUGAAAGCCCAGUGCCUAACACUGGAACUGCCUUUGAUACUGCCGAGCUGGAAUACGGAUGCCGUGGGAGGAAUGAGUAGUGUAGCGGUGAAAUGCAUAGAUAUUACUCAGAACACCGAUUGCGAAGGCAUCUCACGAAUCCGUCUUGACGCUGAGGCACGAAAGCGUGGGGAUCAAACAGGAUUAGAUACCCUGGUAGUCCACGCAGUAAACGAUGAUAACUAA
RNAcentral lists this ribosomal RNA (761 nucleotides) under uncultured bacterium. RNAcentral's name for it is "bacterial SSU rRNA". It matches the Rfam family "Bacterial small subunit ribosomal RNA", at positions 63 to 819 of the family's 1533-position model. The record is from RNAcentral.